This 421-nucleotide ribosomal RNA is filed under the name uncultured bacterium. RNAcentral's name for it is "bacterial SSU rRNA". It matches the Rfam family "Bacterial small subunit ribosomal RNA", at positions 29 to 441 of the family's 1533-position model. The record is from RNAcentral.
AAUGAACGCUGGCGGCGCGCCUAAUACAUGCAAGUCGAGCGAGAAGACGUAGCAAUACGUUUGUAAAGCGGCGAACGGGUGAGGAAUACAUGGGUAACCUACCCUCGAGUGGGGAAUAACUAGCCGAAAGGUUAGCUAAUACCGCGUACGCUCCUUGGACUUCGGUUCAGGGAGGAAAGCGAUACCGUGGGUAUCGCGCUCUUGGAUGGGCUCAUGUCCUAUCAGCUUGNGGUGAGGUAACGGCUCACCAAGGCUUCGACGGGUAGCUGGUCUGAGAGGACGAUCAGCCACACUGGCACUGCGACACGGGCCAGACUCCUACGGGAGGCAGCAGUAAGGAAUAUUGCGCAAUGGGCGAAAGCCUGACGCAGCGACGCCGCGUGGGGGAUGAAGGUCUUCGGAUUGUAAACCCCUUUCGGGA